UAUAUAUUAUAUAUACUUAAUUAUAAGCACUAUACCAUUUAAAGUGAACAACAAUAUCAGUUUUGACAGUUUUCAAAUUGUAGCUUCUGCAUGGUUUCAUUAUUUCUCGAAAAAGUUUUGAAAUUUGUUUUAUAAAUAAAAUAUGAAUUUCAUAAACUUUUUAGUAGAUUCAGAGAUGCUAAGAGCAUUAGGUCCAAAUAAAGUUAAAAACUCCUGAAUUAAAACUUUUUAAAAUUCCAUGGGAUUAAAAUGAUUUAAUUGCAUUUUUGCUUCGCAAUUAAACUAAUUGACAAACCUAAUUCCUUACCGGCUUGUUUUAAUACUUGAGUGAAGCACUCAUUAUACAAUGCAGUUAUAAUUAUACUUUGCAUGCUGGGUGAAUGGUUACGAUUUCAUGCUAAAUGUUAAUUCAAUAGUAAUCAAUUUCUUUCAUCAUGGCUCAUUCGCCACACUUCUGGUACUUCUAUUGUAGGAUACCCAGUUCAAUGCUCGAUACUGAUGCUCAGGUUGUGGGGAGAAACUAUACAAGUUGAAAUCUCCAGCGUUCUACCUUCCAAUACCUUAUGUUAACGGCCAUAAAACAACGUUCAGUAUUCUUGUGAAGCCGACCAAUGGAAGUUGGCAUGACUGCCAUGAGAAAGACGCGGAUUUCCAUGUUGGAAUUUCCCCUCGUGAUGCAGGAGGAGUAUCAAGUUAUACAUCGGAUGGCGUCAUCCAGGAGCUGAAUGGAUGGGAGGAAUCACUAAUUGUGUUUAACAUUAGCAACCCUGAGUGUGAGAUGAUGUGGGGGAAGUGUUUGGACCAAAUGUCGAGUGAAGAGAAAUGGUCAAAGUACAAGUAUGACGAAAACCGUUACAACUGUUUUGACUUUGCCCUCUCUCUACUGACACAAGUGGAUGAAUCUGUUAAAAGUUUCUUUGGUGAAUCCCCUAAGCUGAUCCCUUUCUCAUUUAACCGAGAAGAAAUGAGAAUGAGGUUUGUCCGAAGACAUGUCAUGCCACAAGUAAAGAUUGCAGCGAACUAUCACAAACUAUCGGUUCAAGUCUCGCACAGGGGAGUCGUGGUUAUGGACUCGCCAGAA
This is a non-coding RNA of Ciona intestinalis (vase tunicate), 1081 nucleotides long. NCBI's taxonomy places the organism in Eukaryota, Metazoa, Chordata, Ascidiacea, Phlebobranchia, Cionidae. The record is from RefSeq and is a predicted model, not a curated record.